RNAcentral lists this RNase P RNA (368 nucleotides) under Salmonella enterica. Its description in RNAcentral is "partial RNase P RNA component class A". It matches the Rfam family "Bacterial RNase P class A". Rfam says of the family: Ribonuclease P (RNase P) is a ubiquitous endoribonuclease, found in archaea, bacteria and eukarya as well as chloroplasts and mitochondria. The record is from RNAcentral. Lineage: Bacteria; Pseudomonadati; Pseudomonadota; Gammaproteobacteria; Enterobacterales; Enterobacteriaceae.
GAAGCUGACCAGACAGUCGCCGCUUCGUCGUCGUCCUUUCGGGGAGACGGGCGGAGGGGAGGAAAGUCCGGGCUCCAUAGGGCAGGGUGCCAGGUAACGCCUGGGGGGGAAACCCACGACCAGUGCAACAGAGAGCAGACCGCCGAUGGCCCACGUAAGUGGGAUCAGGUAAGGGUGAAAGGGUGCGGUAAGAGCGCACCGCGCGGCUGGUAACAGUCCGUGGCACGGUAAACUCCACCCGGAGCAAGGCCAAAUAGGGGUUCAUAAGGUACGGCCCGUACUGAACCCGGGUAGGCUGCUUGAGCCAGUGAGCGAUUGCUGGCCUAGAUGAAUGACUGUCCACGACAGAACCCGGCUUAUCGGUCAGU